Molecule: ribosomal RNA, 253 nt
Filed under: uncultured bacterium
Lineage: Bacteria
Description: partial 16S ribosomal RNA
Rfam family: Bacterial small subunit ribosomal RNA
Source: RNAcentral
UACGGAGGGAGCAAGCGUUACUCGGAAUUAUUGGGCGUAAAGGGCGCGUAGGCGAUCCUGCAAGUCUCGUGUGAAAGCCCAGAGCCUAACUCUGGAAGGGCACGAGAUACUGAAGGAUUUGAGUUCCGGAGAGGAAGAUGGAAUUCCCGGUGUAGCGGUGAAAUGCGUAGAUAUCUGGAGGAACACCGGUGGCGAAGGCGGCAUCCUGGACCGACACUGACGCUGAGGAGCGAAAGCCAGGGGAGCAAACGGG